UUGUUCCCGUCACCGUUUCCG
Caenorhabditis elegans is the source of this 21-nucleotide non-coding RNA. NCBI's taxonomy places the organism in Eukaryota, Metazoa, Nematoda, Chromadorea, Rhabditida, Rhabditidae. The record is from Ensembl.